UCGCCUGAUUAACAAA
This 16-nucleotide transfer RNA is filed under the name Thliphthisa chlorantha. RNAcentral's name for it is "Asperula chlorantha partial tRNA-Cys". Lineage: Eukaryota; Viridiplantae; Streptophyta; Magnoliopsida; Gentianales; Rubiaceae. The record is from RNAcentral. RNAcentral also lists the same sequence under 1 other name.